Molecule: ribosomal RNA, 488 nt
Filed under: uncultured archaeon
Lineage: Archaea
Description: bacterial SSU rRNA
Rfam family: Archaeal small subunit ribosomal RNA
Source: RNAcentral
GUCGUAAAACGUUCGUAGCCGGUUCGGUAAAGUCUUGGGUAAUCGGGGGCUAACCUCCCGACUCCGAGAGACUGCCGAACUUGGGACCGGGAGAGGCUAGAGGUACUUCUGGGGUAGGGGUAAAAAUCCUGUAAUCCCUAGAAGGACCACCGGUGGCGAAGGCGUCUAGCUAGAACGGAUCCGACGGUGAGGGACGAAGCCCUGGGUCGCAAACGGGGAUUAGAUACCCCGGUAGUCCAGGGUGUAAACGCUGCAGACUUGGUGUUGGAGGCCCUUUGGGGGCAUCCAGUGCCGGAGAGAAGUUGUUAAGUCUGCUACUUGGGGAGUACGUCCGCAAGGAUGAAACUUAAAGGAAUUGGCGGGGAGCACCGCCAACGGGAGGAGCGUGCGGUUUAAUUGGAUUCAACACCGUAAAACUCACCAGGGAAGACUGUUACAUGAAGGCCGGGCUAAAGACUCUGCCAGAUUUUCAGAGAAGAGGUGCAUGG